GGGUGGGGUGGUGCUGAUUUCUCCUUUAAGGAAUGAUUAAUGGCAAGAAUUCUUGGCUCUUGACUUUGGUAAACAGGAGAGUAGCACUUUUCUACAGCCUCCCAGUUAGGUCAUUUUGCAAGCCAUGAAGUUAUUAGGAACCCACGUUUUAAAUCUUGCCUCUCUUGCUUGAAACCUGCAUGAGCAGAACAUGUUCCGAGACGUUGCUGUGUCUCAGUUUCCUCUUCAGUGAAAUGGGAGCAAUCGUGCCUGCCUCACACGUGGUGAUUCGAUGAGGUCAUCCAUGCCAGAUGGCGCAACUUGUUAGCAAGGGUGUCUGUCUAGUCUCGUCAGAAAACCGUCCAGGGAAGUCUACGUGUCUUAAGUGGUCUGACUUCACCCCUAAUUGCGGUCCAAGCUGCUGUCGUCCGCAGGGCACUUCCCUGGGAUGCGUGUAGGGAAGUGUGCUAUCUCCCACCAGGUUCGAACAAAAACACCCACGACCCCCGUCGCGGCUGGCAGCCGCUCUCACGGCUGUGGGGCCACCCGCUUAGGAUGAAGCCAGCCGGGUGGGUGUGGGACAGGGAGAAUAGGAAAGGCUUGCAUUGCUGGUGGCUGUGCUGGGUCACUUAUCAACCGGCCCUAAUACUCUCCCUCCCGCUGCACUUCCGGUUAUGUGUCAUAAUAAGAAAUAGCCUAUUUCUUUAUUGCGUGAGGAAGUCUGAGUGCAGGUUAAAAGCCCCCCAGUGAAUACAUCUAGUUUCCAAAAAUCAUUACAACUUUGGAUUUUAUUUAGCUCCUCUUUUAUUUAUCCACUCUUCUUUUAAAAAAAAUUUUUUUUAAUUUCUAUUUGAGAGAGAGAGAGAGAGAGAGAGAGAGGAGAGAACAUGAGCGGAGGGGGCAGAGACAGAGACAGAAUCUGAAGCAAACUCCAGGCUUGGAGCUGCGGGCUGUCAGCACACAGAGCCCAAUGCAGGGCUUAGACUCACGAGUGGUGACAUCAUGACCUGAGCUGAAUGGAGUUGGACGCUUAACCGACCGAGCCACCCAGGUGCCCCUAUUCAUAUUCACUUUUCUAUUCAUGCAUUCAAUUAUUUUUCCUGAGCCUUUGUGUGAAUAGCACCAUGCCACGCAGUGGGAAACACAAGAACUUAAUGCUCUGCCUACCUCCCCAAGAAGCUUAGAUUAGAUACGUAUCUUCCUGUGAGGAGGAAGGUCACGGAUGGAGACACUGGUUGAGAAGACCCUUCGGGGAGGGGCUCCCAUGAGACACGGCAUCGAGGCAGGACCGCCUGGUUGAGUUUCUGGAAGACAAUGGCCGGUCAGUUUGGUUGGAGAAUUCAUAGAAGACCGUUAAGACAAGAAUCUAGGGAAUCGAGAAUUAGCAUGGCAUUAGCCUAAAGAGUUUGCGUUGUUUUUUAAAAUACAAAUAAGAACUCACUGAAGACUUGAGGUCUAGAGCCAUAGGAUGCAAAAAGCAUUUUUGGAGGAGUAAGUUGACAGACUUGUGGAACCGAGAUAAGGAGGUUGGAGGGAGGAGGGCCAGUUCGGAGGGUCUAUUACCUAGGCCUCCCGCACCCCCGCCCCGCCACUCCUUUCAAAGUGACAGAGGUGUGCGGGACCCCCCAGGGGAACACUGGUUCUGUGUGUCUUGACUCCAGUCUUUCUGGAGAUAGUCCCAGGUUAUCAGUAAGACCCACUCUGGAGCCAAAGCAGGAUACAAGGAUGUGAGGUAUUUUGUUUUGUAAUGUGGGAGAUUGGUGUUCAUUUUAUUUCAUUUCUCCUUAUGUCCAGUGCACGGAGUUGGGUUCAUCACACUCCUCAGCUCAUGGCCCCUGAGAGGAUUGAAGGAAGGUUCUCAGUUUAAUAUUCUGAGGUAAACCAGCCCAUAAUUCAGAUGGUUGGCCUCUCGAUGGUCCUCAUCUUUUCUGUUUUCGUCCGUAUUCUUAAACAUGUGAGAUAACCCAAAAGUAUUUAGACUAUUGGCUCUGCCUUUAGUGAGGUGGGCCCGAGUCAGAACAAGGUCUACUCUUCCAGAUCAUCAGAUCUUCAAAGCCCCGAGUAUCUAAUAAUCACCUUCUAGUGUACUUCGUGGUCUGAUUCGCUGCAUUCAUUAUAAGUAUGGGCGACUUUACUGUCCUAUCACUAAAUAGUGUUCAUCUGGCUUGAAAAAAAAAACUCGAGGCUUUUCUGUAACUAAUUAGCGAUUGUAAAUAUGCCCAUCUCCCACUCUUUUAAAAAAAAUUUUUAAUGUUUAUUUUUUUUUUCUGAGAGAGAGAGAGAGAGAAAAACAGAGCAUGGAGCAGGGGAGGGGCAGAGAGAGAGAGGGAGACACAGAAUCUGAAGCAGGCUCCAGGCUCUGCGCUGUCAGCACGGAGCCGGAUGUGGGGCUUGAACUCGUGAAUCGAGAGAUCAUGCCCUGAGCCGAAGCUGAACGCUUAACAGACUGAGCCACACAGGCGCCCCUCUCACUCUUAAUAUAGACGGUCAUAUAUUCAGCAGUGACAAUAGUUCUACUUACUUCUUUCCAAGUGUGUAUUUAUUCCCUCAUUUACAGAUGCAACAGACAUUUGAGCACCUACCAUGCGUCGCAUCGUUUACCAAAUGUGGCGGCCAUUUGGAAUCCACUUCAUCCCUUCCCUUCCCUAUUCAACAUGUCUAUAGUGCCUCCUGCUCUCCUGAGACUGCUCCCAGCUCUCAGACCCCAUGGCAUCCUUACCUUGCACCGUGCCUCAGUGCUGCUGGGUUCUGUCGAUCACCCCUCCCUGAACGGCUUCCCUUGACCGCUAAUUUUUGCUAUCCUUCCCUCCGAUGACUUAUCUCUUAGAUGGAAUUCUUCAGACUUCUGGCCUUGGUACUCUUUCUUUCUGAAGCUAUAUCCCUAGCUGGUUUGUCUCAUCCUGUGUGUCCAUGACUCUCACAUCUGUCUCUCCAGGCUGACCUUUCCCUGGAGAUCUGUCCUCUCCCUCCACUCUACCCCUGGGGGCCACUUCUCAGUCUUUAUCUGAAAAAUGAAAACGUCAUCCUCCCCCAGCCCCCUCUUUUCCCAUAUUUUUGCCCUGGCUAAUGGAGCUCAUCACUAAAGUCAGCUGAUCCACGUGGGGUGCAUCCACAAGACAGAGGCUGCAGAAGAUUCUUGCACCUCUGGUAACUUGCUUCUAUUGACUGAGGUGUGGGCCACAGAGUUGUUCAGAGUAAAAUGCUGAACGUUGGUCUCUCCUUAUACAUAAGAAUGAUUGUUCCCAAAGAACAUGUCUCCUUAGCUUGAGAUCUUUCUGGAUGGACAGAAAAAGGGGUGGGGCUAAGGCCGCUUUGUCAACGGUCCAUGGGUGGUUUGCUUCUUUGGGUGACCUCUGUCCUGGAUGUCAAGGAAGAGGAAUAUUUGGGAACCAGUCCCGUUGUGGCUGUUCCUGGGAGUUUAGUCAGAUUAAGCACACUCAGAAGAUGAAAACGGUGGGUUUUCAGGAGAGCUCUUGCCUCUGUGGCCUCAUCUGUGGGUCCCCCGGAGGAGCCAUUCCGAAUAGCUUCUGGCAGCACAGUUACGCGGGCUGUGCUGUGCUUUAGUGCCUUUGCACAAAUUGGAGUCUGUGCUGACAACGGUCGUUCAUUCAUUGGUCCCCCAAAUAUAAAUGGAGAGAUGACUCAGCAGCCCCACUCCUACGUAUAUACCUGAAAUAAUUGAAAGCAGAGACUCAAGACGAUACUUCUACACCCAUGUUCAUAGGCGCCCUUUUCACAGCAGCCAAAAGAUGGAAGCAGGCCAAGUGUCCACCGACAGACGAACGGACACACAAAAUGGGGGCGGGGGGGACGUACACACAAGGGGGAAUUAUUCAGUCUUAAAAAAGAAUGAAAAUCUGAUACAUACACAACAUGGAUGAACCUCGAAAGCCUUAUGCUAAGUGAAAUAAGCCAGACAAGAAAGGAAAAGUAUUGUGCAAUUCCAACUUACAUGGGAUGUGUAGAAUAGGCAAAUUCAGAGAGACAGAAAGUGUGUAGGGGUUACCAGGGGCUGGGGGAGGGGAGGGGGGGAGCUAUUGCGUAAUGGGUACAGAGUUUCUGUGCAGGAUGACGAAAAGUUUUGGACACAGUGGUGAUGAUUGCACAACACUGUGGAUAUAAUUAAUGCCCCUGAAUAGAACACUUAAAAAUGCUUAAAAUGGCAAAUUUUGUUAUAUAUAUUUUGCCACAAUAAGAAAAUAUAUAAACGGAGAGAGAGCGUGCGCCAGGGUGCGUUCACCAAUGUGAAUUUCUAGGGCAGGAACCUUGCCUGAUCUGACUGUGUAUCCUCUGAGCCCAGCACACAGGAAGCGCAACUAACAAGGACCUUGAGGUUGGGUCUUGAAAAACUGAGAGAUGAGAGGCAGUAGCAUUUUUUCCUGAAAAAAAGAAAACAACAACAACAACAACAACAACAACAA
Molecule: long non-coding RNA, 4400 nt
Organism: Panthera uncia (snow leopard)
Lineage: Eukaryota; Metazoa; Chordata; Mammalia; Carnivora; Felidae
Exons: 2
Source: RefSeq, a predicted model, not a curated record